RNAcentral lists this ribosomal RNA (1470 nucleotides) under uncultured bacterium. RNAcentral's name for it is "partial 16S ribosomal RNA". It matches the Rfam family "Bacterial small subunit ribosomal RNA". The record is from RNAcentral.
AGAGUUUGAUCCUGGCUCAGGAUGAACGCUAUCUACAGGCUUAACACAUGCAAGUCGAGGGGCAGCAUGUCGGUUGCUUGCAACCGAUGAUGGCGACCGGCGCACGGGUGAGUAACGCGUAUCCAACCUACCCUUGUCCAUCGGAUAACCCGUCGAAAGGCGGCCUAACACGAUAUGCGGUUCACAGCAGGCAUCUAAGGUGAACGAAAUGUGAAGGAGAAGGAUGGGGAUGCGUCUGAUUAGCUUGUUGGCGGGGUAACGGCCCACCAAGGCGACGAUCAGUAGGGGUUCUGAGAGGAAGGUCCCCCACAUUGGAACUGAGACACGGUCCAAACUCCUACGGGAGGCAGCAGUGAGGAAUAUUGGUCAAUGGACGGGAGUCUGAACCAGCCAAGUAGCGUGCAGGAUGACGGCCCUAUGGGUUGUAAACUGCUUUUAUAGGGGGAUAAAGUGUGCCACGUGUGGCAUAUUGCAGGUACCCUAUGAAUAAGGACCGGCUAAUUCCGUGCCAGCAGCCGCGGUAAUACGGAAGGUCCGGGCGUUAUCCGGAUUUAUUGGGUUUAAAGGGAGCGUAGGCCGUCUUAUAAGCGUGUUGUGAAAUGUCGGGGCUCAACCUGGGCAUUGCAGCGCGAACUGUGAGACUUGAGUGCGCAGGAAGUAGGCGGAAUUCGUCGUGUAGCGGUGAAAUGCUUAGAUAUGACGAAGAACUCCGAUUGCGAAGGCAGCCUGCUGUAGGGCGAAUGACGCUAAGUCUCGGAAGAGUGGGUAUCGAACAGUAUUAGAUACAUUGGUAGUCCAAGCGGUAACCGAUGGAUGCUCGCUGAUUGGGUGUGAUAUAAUCGGCCAAGAGCCAGUGUAUAGCAUCCCAGCUGGGGAGUACGCCAGCAACGGUGAUACUCGAAGGGAAUGACGGGGUCCCGAACAAUCGGAGGCACACGAGAUGUCAUUCGAUGAUAAGUGAGUAACCUUACCCGGGCAUGAAACGAAGCGGACGGAUAUAGAGAUGUAGACUCCCUUCGGGGCUCAUAUGGAGGUCCUGUGUGCUAGUAGUCAGCUCGUUCCGUGAGGUAUCGGCUUAAGUCCCAUAACGAGUGCAACCUGUGGUACUAGCUUCCAUCGACCCAAACCGGUCAUUGCGUGGAGGGUGCGUCAGUAAGGAGAGAGGAAGAUGGGAAGGAUGUCCAACCAUCUCGGCCACAACGUCCGGGCCUACAAAGCUGUUACGAUGGCACAUACAGAAAUAGUGGGUCUAUGCGAAGACGAUCGAAUCCAUCAAACAUAUGUCAGAUACGGAGUUAGUCUCCGCAAGCCCGACGUCCACCGUAGUUCGGAUUGCGAUCAGUAAUGAGCAGCAUCACCCAUGGCUCGGAGGUACGUUCCCGGACCUAGUACACACCGCCAGUCAAGGCGAAUUCGUUGAACAUUCAGGGCUAGUCCAUUUAGUGAGGUAAUUCUGGUUAGAGUAUGAUU